UCCUGGCUCAGGAUGAACGCUGGCGGCUGCUUACACAUGCAGUCGAACGCAACCUUCGGGUUGAGUGGCGGACGGGUGAGUAACGCGUGAGAAUCUGCCUUGGGGUCGGGGACAACCACUGGAGACGGUGGCUAAGUACCGGAUAAGCCUUUGGGUAAAAAAUUUAUUGCCCCAAGAGGAGCUCGCGUCUGAUUAGCUAGUUGGUGAGGUAAGAGCUCACCAAGGCAGCGAUCAGUAGCUGGUCUGAGAGGACGAUCAGCCACACUGGGACUGAGACACGGCCCAGACUCCUACGGGAGGCAGCAGUGGGGAAUUUUCCGCAAUGGGCGAAAGCCUGACGGAGCAAGACCGCGUGAGGGAGGAAGGCUCUUGGGUUGUAAACCUCUUUUCUCAGGGAAGAAGCUCUGACGGUACCUGAGGAAUCAGCCUCGGCUAACUCCGUGCCAGCAGCCGCGGUAAUACGGAGGAGGCAAGCGUUAUCCGGAAUUAUUGGGCGUAAAGCGUCCGCAGGUGGCGAUUCAAGUCUGCUGUCAAAGCACGGGGCUUAACUCCGUUAAGGCAGUGGAAACUGAAUAGCUAGAGUGCCGUAGGGGUAGAGGGAAUUCCCGGUGUAGCGGUGAAAUGCGUAGAGAUCGGGAAGAACAUCGGUGGCGAAAGCGCUCUACUGGACGGCAACUGACACUCAGGGACGAAAGCUAGGGGAGCGAAUGGGAUUAGAUACCCCAGUAGUCCUAGCUGUAAACGAUUGGAUACUAGGUGUAGCUUGUAUC
RNAcentral lists this ribosomal RNA (770 nucleotides) under uncultured organism. RNAcentral describes it as "bacterial SSU rRNA". It matches the Rfam family "Bacterial small subunit ribosomal RNA", at positions 17 to 833 of the family's 1533-position model. The record is from RNAcentral.